GGAAGUUAAGAAACUGUUUCUUAACUUUUAACUAAAAAAACUAAGAACCAGUUCUUAAAUAAAGACUUUAAGAACCGGUUUUUAGCUGUUUUUAGCUGUUUUAGUUAAAAGUUAAGAAACAAUUUUUUAACUUCC
RNAcentral lists this microRNA precursor (135 nucleotides) under Brassica oleracea var. oleracea. RNAcentral describes it as "MIR9563 microRNA precursor family". It matches the Rfam family "MIR9563 microRNA precursor family". The record is from Rfam by way of RNAcentral. Lineage: Eukaryota; Viridiplantae; Streptophyta; Magnoliopsida; Brassicales; Brassicaceae.